AUGGCGAUCAAGAAGCCGUCCAAGACGGACAAGAAGCACGCGUACGACCAGAAGCUGUGCCAGCUCCUCGACGAGUACUCGAGGGUGCUCGUCGCGUCGGCGGACAACGUCGGCUCCAGCCAGCUCACGGAGAUCCGCAGGGGCAUCCGCGGCGAGUCGGUCAUGCUCAUGGGGAAGAACACCCUCAUCCGCCGCUGCAUCGCGGCGCACGCCGAGAGGUCGGGCAACACCGACAUCAAGGCCCUCAUACCCCUCCUCCAAGGGAACGUCGCCCUCAUCUUCACCAAGGGUGACCUCAAGGAGGUGUGCGAGGAGGUGGCCAAGUACAAGGUUGGGGCCCCUGCUCGUGUUGGCCUGAUUGCUCCUAUUGAUGUGGUGGUUCCCCCUGGAAACACUGGUCUGGACCCCUCCCAAACUUCUUUCUUCCAGGUGCUUAACAUCCCCACCAAGAUCAACAAGGGAAGCGUUGAGAUCGUCGCCCAUGUGGACCUCAUCAAGAAGGGUGACAAGGUGGGCUCAUCCGAGGCUGCCCUGCUUGCCAAGGUUCAGCCCCGAGGUUCUUGA
Molecule: ribosomal RNA, 564 nt
Filed under: Triticum aestivum (bread wheat)
Lineage: Eukaryota; Viridiplantae; Streptophyta; Magnoliopsida; Poales; Poaceae
Description: partial small subunit ribosomal RNA
Source: RNAcentral